GAGUUUGAUCCUGGCUCAGGACGAACGCUGGCGGCGUGCCUCAGACAUGCAAGUCGUACGGGGCAGCGCAAGCUGCUUAGUGGCGGACGGGUGAGUAACACGUGGGCAAUCUGCCCGCAUGCUCGGGAUAACACCUCGAAAGGGGUGCUAAUACCGGAUGAUGUUGAGAGACCGCAUGGUCUUUCAACCGAAGGUGGCCUCUUAACAAUGCUGCCGCAUGCGGAUGAGCCCGCGACCCAUUAGCUAGUUGGUGAGGUAACGGCCCACCAAGGCGACGAUGGGUAGCCGGCCUGAGAGGGUGGCCGGCCACACUGGGACUGAGACAAGGCCCAGACUCCUACGGGAGGCAGCAGUCGGGAAUCUUGCACAAUGGGCGAAAGCCUGAUGCAGCGACGCCGCGUGAGCGAUGAAGGCCUUCGGGUUGUAAAGCUCUGUCUUGGGGGACGAAGGCCAUAGGGUGAACAGCCUUAUGGGAUGACGGUACUCCAGGAGGAAGCCCCGGCUAACUACGUGCCAGCAGCCGCGGUAACACGUAGGGGGCAAGC
RNAcentral lists this ribosomal RNA (545 nucleotides) under uncultured bacterium. RNAcentral describes it as "bacterial SSU rRNA". It matches the Rfam family "Bacterial small subunit ribosomal RNA", at positions 9 to 539 of the family's 1533-position model. The record is from RNAcentral.